Molecule: ribosomal RNA, 445 nt
Filed under: uncultured bacterium
Lineage: Bacteria
Description: bacterial SSU rRNA
Rfam family: Bacterial small subunit ribosomal RNA
Source: RNAcentral
GUAGGGAAUAUUGGUCAAUGGGGGCAACCCUGAACCAGCCAUGCCGCGUGCAGGAAGACUGCCCUAUGGGUUGUAAACUGCUUUUGUACGGGAAGAACUCCUCGCUUGCGAGCGGGGUUGACGGUACCGUGAGAAUAAGGAUCGGCUAACUUCGUGCCAGCAGCCGCGGUAAUACGAAGGAUCCAAGCGUUGUCCGGAUUUACUGGGUUUAAAGGGAGCGUAGGCGGUUGUAUAAGUCAGUGGUGAAAGCCUUCAGCUUAACUGAAGAAUUGCCAUUGAAACUGUAUGACUCGAGUAUGGUUGAGGUCACUGGAAUGUAACAUGUAGCGGUGAAAUGCUUAGAUAUGUUACAGAACACCAAUUGCGAAGGCAGGUGACUAAGCCAUAACUGACGCUGAGGCUCGAAAGCGUGGGGAGCAAACAGGAUUAGAUACCCCAGUAGUCC